RNAcentral lists this ribosomal RNA (253 nucleotides) under uncultured bacterium. Its description in RNAcentral is "partial 16S ribosomal RNA". It matches the Rfam family "Bacterial small subunit ribosomal RNA", at positions 524 to 776 of the family's 1533-position model. The record is from RNAcentral.
UACGGAGUGUGCAAGCGUUACUCGGAAUCACUGGGCAUAAAGAGCACGUAGGUGGAGUCGCAUGUCGGUGGUGAAAUCCCCCAGCUCAACUGGGGAGCUGCUUCCGAAACUGCGAUUCUUGAGGACGAGAGGGGAGAGUGGAACUUCUGGUGGAGCGGUGAAAUGCGUAGAUAUCAGAAGGAACACCGGUGGCGAAAGCGACUCUCUGGCUCGUAUCUGACACUGAGGUGCGAAAGCUUGGGUAGCAAACAGG